UGGGGAAUAUUGGACAAUGGGGGCAACCCUGAUCCAGCAAUGCCGCGUGUGUGAAGAAGGUUUUCGGAUUGUAAAGCACUUUCGACGGGGACGAUGAUGACGGUACCCGUAGAAGAAGCCCCGGCUAACUUCGUGCCAGCAGCCGCGGUAAUACGAAGGGGGCUAGCGUUGCUCGGAAUGACUGGGCGUAAAGGGCGUGUAGGCGGUUUGUACAGUCAGAUGUGAAAUCCCCGGGCUUAACCUGGAGCUGCAUUUGAUACGUGCAGACUAGAGUGUGAGAGAGGGUUGUGGAAUUCCCAGUGUAGAGGUGAAAUUCGUAGAUAUUGGGAAGAACACCGGUGGCGAAGGCGGCAACCUGGCUCAUAACUGACGCUGAGGCGCGAAAGCGUGGGGAG
Molecule: ribosomal RNA, 395 nt
Filed under: uncultured bacterium
Lineage: Bacteria
Description: partial 16S ribosomal RNA
Rfam family: Bacterial small subunit ribosomal RNA
Source: RNAcentral